GACUCUCGGCAAAGGAUAUCUCUACUCUCGCAUCAAUGAAGAACGUAGCAAAAUACGAUACUUGGUAUCAAUUGCAGAAUCCCCUGAACCAUCAAGUCUUUGAACGCAAGUCGCACCCUAGGCCAUCGAGCUGAGGGCACGCCUUCUUAGGCAUCU
Molecule: ribosomal RNA, 156 nt
Organism: Macadamia integrifolia
Lineage: Eukaryota; Viridiplantae; Streptophyta; Magnoliopsida; Proteales; Proteaceae
Product: 5.8S ribosomal RNA
Exons: 1
Source: RefSeq, a predicted model, not a curated record